GGGGGCUGCGGGCGUGUUCGCCCUGAACAUUGACGCAAUCGGAACAUGUGCCGUGAACUGACCUCCCCGUGUCUCCGGCUGUAAACAUUCCCCGGUUAUUUUUGGGUGCUCGGCCCAGCUUCUCCCUCGGCUUAUUGGCUGGUGGCUGAGGGAGAUGCCCCUGAAAGGCCGGAGCUGCAGGGUCACCGCCCGCGAUUCGCCUCACCUCCCCGCCAGCCCGCGAUGUUGCUGCGCUUCGGGGUGGUGGUGACACUGGAGGCCCGCCAUGUCCAGCUGUUCGUGUGCGGGUCCAGGCCGGAGCUGGGACACUGGGAUCCGGAGCGGGCGGUGCCGAUGCUGGCUGCGAGCAGCGCCGUGAACGAGCCUUCCUUCUGGGUUGGCGAGGUGCUGCUGCAGGAGCCCAGCACCGAGACAUUCUGGUUCAAGUUUGCCAAGCGGAUCCAUGGCCAGUUCGUCUGGGAAGGAAAUGGGCCGCAUCAUGAUCGGUGCUGUGAAUACGAUGACAGCAACUUAGUGGAUGAUGUUUACUGUCACCCUGUCGGACACUAUAUUGAGGAGAGUGGGUAUACCAAUGAGAUGAAGCAUACCACUGAUUUCUACUUUCACAUCGCUGACCACCAAGCCAUGCACUACUCCAGGAUUCUACCCAGGAUUUGGCUUGGUAGCUGUCCACGACAAAUAGAGCACGUGACCAUCAAACUCAAGCACGAGUUGGGGGUGACUGCAGUAAUGAAUUUUCAAACAGAAUGGGACGUUGUGCAGAACUCGGCUGGAUGUAACCGCAAACCAGAACCAAUGAAACCUGAAUUCAUGAUGGAACUAUACAAAGAUGCUGACAUAGCCUAUGUAUGGAUGCCAACUCCAGAUAUGAGUACAGAAGGCAGGGUGAAGAUGCUCCCUCAGGCAGUUUACUUGCUUCAUGGUUUGCUGGAGAAUGGCCACACUGUGUACGUGCAUUGUAAUGCAGGGGUAGGACGAUCGACUGCCACUGUGUGUGGGUUCCUGAUGUACAUCACUGGAUGGAGUCUAAGGAAAGUUCAGUACUUUGUGACUUCCAAACGACCUGCAGUAUACAUUGAUGAAGAGGCUUUGAUCCGUGCCAAGAAUGAAUUUCACCAAAAAUUUGGACAUAUCCAUUCUUCUGUGUGUCACAACUGUUAAGAGUACAAUUACACCUUGGAAGCACUAUCUUUUGGAGGUUACAAAUUGUGUUUUUGCUUUUAAAUGAGUGGAGCUUUUAUGUUCAUUUGAGGACAGCACAUGAGCAAAUAAUUCUUGGCAAAAAUUCAGAUAACUUUUUGAACAUACACCCUAUCUAGGUUCUGAAACACCUUGGUGCCAUUUUAAGAACAUUUGGCGAUUGCAAGCAGGCUGUGAUUUUUUACCUAGGAUAUUGGAUGGAAACUGCUUGUGGGUAACAAACUACUCGAAGAUGUUUGUUUCGUUACCAACAUAUGUCAAGGUCAACAGGGUACAAGUUAUUCCCCGAAUGAAAUCCUACUUUAAAAAAAAAUCCUAAUGGCUUGUUAUCAAGAAACUGCUUCCCAUUGGAAAAGCAUACAGACUUAACUCAGAGUGGGAGAGCUAAUUCGACCACAGACAUUUAUAGGCUAUGACCAACUGAGAAGACAAAAGAGGGUGCAGAAGCUGGAACCUAGAACAAAAACAGAAUGCUAGAAGAACUCAACAGAUCAAGCAGCAUUUGUGGAAGCAAAAGGUACAAGAAGCUGGUAGCUGACACAUGGAAUUUACAACCCAAUGGUAUGAAUAUUGAAUUUUCCAAUUUCAGGUAACCCACACACCUGGUUUGCUUCUCCUACACACACUCACCUGUCCACAUAGUUUUCUUCUUCCUUUGUUCAUCCCUCCCCCACCUGGAUCCAUCUUCUCUUCACCCCCUCCCCAUCUGGUUCCACCUAUCACCAACUAGCCUCUGUCUUCCCUAUCCAAUGUAUUGUUAAAUACCGGCAAUCUUUCCUGUUCCCUCUCCGUCCUGAUGCAGGAUGUAGACCAGAAACGGCAACUUACACCUUUUGUAUCCACAGAUGCUGCCUGACCCACUGAGUUCUUCCAGUGUUCUGUUUUUGACCAAUUGAGAAAUCAGAAUAUGAUACGAUUAUUUUUUCUUCAGCAACUCUCCUAGUCUCUUGAAUGUGCAAACCCUUUGCUGAUCUAAAGUGGACAUACAACAAGCCAUCCUCCACUAACUUGUCUCAUGACCAUUGACAGGAAAUACCCUCUGAUCAUUGAUUGGCAUAAUAUGGAGUUCUGCUUUCAAACCCUCCUAACGUAACCAUAGCUACUAAUCUAAUUUUCAGAAUUCCUCAAAACAUUUGUAAAAUUCACAAAACCUCAUUGAAUAAAGAGGAAUGAAUUCAGCUCAAUAUCCUAAAUGAAAACAGACAGAAUUAUGGAGUUUAAUCUUCAAAGCAUCGAUAAAAUACAAAAAAAAUCAAUGUAAAGUAAACAGAAUCCACAGGAAAUAACAAAAGACCAUUCAGCCAGAGUUUGCUCCACCAUCCAAAUGGAUCAUGGUUAGGCAAUAUAUGUACUCCAUUCAGCCACCUUGCCUCCCAUAUCUUAAACAUCAAUCUCAAAUCUAUAAGUCUGAUUGCAACCAAGUAUAACUUGCUCCUUUGAUCUAGUUAAGUAGUUGGAAGAUGGAGUUCUACUAUAGGAAUACUCAAGAAGCACCAACUCUUGUUAAUUCUAUGCUGCAAAACCACCAAAAUUUUGAAUAAAAAUUCAGGUGUUCAACUUCCAGUACAGAUUAUUUUCCAUGUCUUUUCUGUAUAUUAUUUACACAAGUUCCCAUGGUUGCACCAUUUUGUUUCACUAUGACAGUUUAUGGAUAGUCUCUACAUUACAAUUUUCAAUCCUAAUGCAGAUUAUUUUAAUCCCAAAAGAGGAACAAGGUAUUUUAGACCAUUGAAUAUGUCCUACCAUUCAAUAAGAUUGUGGGCAAUUUAAAUCCAAAUAACUACUUUCCUGCAUCUCUUAUUAAUGGUGGUUAACAAAAUUUAUCAAUUUAAAUAUUAAAAUUAAUUUGCUGAGCAUCAAUUACCAUUUGUAGAACUAUUCCAAAUUUAUACAACCUUCAUCAUAUAGAAGUGUUCCUUCACUUCAGUCUUGAAAGGCCUGACUAAUUUUUUUUGGACCAUGUCUUCUAAACCCAGUUACUCAACCAGGAAUAGUUAUUCUCUAUCCACCCAAUCAGUUUCCCUUCAUAUCUUGAAAACUAAUCAAAUUGCACACACCCCACUCCCAAGUCUUGUACAUUCCAGUAAAUAUAGUCUUAUUUUGUGAAUCUUACUUUGUAAUUUAUAUCGUGUGGCCAGGUAUCAUUUCUGUAAAUGGGGAUGCAGAGAUCUGUACGUGCAAGUGCACGAUUCACA
This is an RNA transcript of Pristis pectinata (smalltooth sawfish), 3395 nucleotides long. It is a transcript of the gene named EPM2A glucan phosphatase, laforin, with no coding region annotated. Lineage: Eukaryota; Metazoa; Chordata; Chondrichthyes; Rhinopristiformes; Pristidae. The record is from RefSeq and is a predicted model, not a curated record. The transcript is spliced from 5 exons.